Molecule: long non-coding RNA, 40017 nt
Filed under: Prunus persica (peach)
Lineage: Eukaryota; Viridiplantae; Streptophyta; Magnoliopsida; Rosales; Rosaceae
Description: long non-coding RNA (PPER_LNC001825)
Source: RNAcentral
AAGAAAAACUGAAUUUACUUCCUGCAAAAGUUUAGUAAGAUGUGGGAUACAAUUUAAACCUUACUUUAAAGACAAUUUCCAGGGUAGAGGACAGCAUUAUAGUAUUGUGCCAAAAGCAAGCUAAUGCAUAUGAGUGAUGCAGCAUCAGGUGGCUAAAAUAAUUACAUCCUCACCGGUUUCAACAUAUCAGAUCAGACAUCCUGGAUAUCUACCUUCCCUUGAUACACACUUAACAGUUCAGGUACUUUGCCAAGAUAUCCGUUCACAAAACUCUCCAAGAACUGCUUCUCUGCCGGUUUCAGCAGAGAACCCAGAUUCAAGUUCCCAUUUAUGAAACCUUUCGACAACAGAACUUUAACAACAGAGCACCUUGGGAUAAGUCUCUUCUCUAUACUGAGACCGAGGACCACAGGAUAUUUGGCAAUCAUUCCUGACGACCAUCCCAUCUUGUUCACUAAAAGAUCCAUUGCUUGCAUAAGUUUCUUCUCCGAGACAAUCAUAGACAGCGGGUUCUUCCUGAAAGCGGAGAGAAAAUCAUCCUCAGACCAACCCCAUGUCUUAAGAACUUCACGACUUCUAUUCAAUACCAACUUAUUCUUACCACACAAUGCACACAGGGCAUUCACUGAAGUUGAUUUUUCCAGAUUAAAUCCCAUUUCCUUAACCUCACCCACAAGUUGACCAAAUUUUUCAGGAUUUACCAUCAAAGAGGGAGUACAGUGAGCUAACAACAAAGAAAUGCAUGGUUGAGGCAUACCCGAUUCUCUCAAAAGCCCAAUAUUUGGAACAACAUGCUUGCGGUGACUUUCCAAGAAAAUCCAUGAGUUGCGUUUUAAAACAGCAACAACAUUUUUCUCAGAGAGCAUACUCCUGAGGAAGUUAUAAGUGGGCAAAAUCCGAUUUCUCAAGCUGGCUGCCAAAAGCUGUGGAUUAAAAGUCAGAGUUUUUAUAAGGUCCACCUUUGAAAUUUCAAGAGAGCUGAAAAACUCAAGCUUUGGCAAAAGGGUUUUCUCAGGAUCAGCUGAAAGAAGUUUUGGAUGUGACCUAAUAAGCUUUGAUAUCUGGGUUUGAGAUGCUCCAUAGUUUCUCAGAAGCUCUAAAACGGAGUCUGCUCUUUCUGGUGACUUCAACUCGACCCGCUUACAAGCUGAAAUCGCUCCUUCUGGGGACAACCCGCAAGUGUUUAUGAGGUAAGUGACUGUGAAAUUGUGUUGGUUUUCUGAGAUUUCUGACGUGAUGCGUCUGCAGAUCAACUGACUCUGAAGAGAAAAAUGUGAGGGUUUUGGAUCUCCAACCAACACUCUGUUUGUUUUGGAAGCAAAUGUACAAGAAAAUAUUGAGUGAACCAAUCUGAAGGUCUUCAAAUUGCAGAGUUGAAUCAUGUUAGAGGUUGAUGAUGAACAAUUUCUACAGGAAAACUUAAAGCCCUAGCUGAUUCUCUGCCUUCAGAAAAUAUGCAGUUCUCGGCAUUCUAAAAAGAUCUGAACCAUCCAAAUAAAAUUGCCUGGUAUAGGAUAAACCAUUGCAGCUAGGGUAAGUUUUCUUACCAUUUUCACAACUGACGGUCACUGGCUUACUGCUGCUAUCCAUGGCGGUAGGAAAUAUUCUGCCAGAAAAACCUCUUCAGUCUUCAUAGGUACAAAUCAAAGCAAAGCAAUUACUCCAAUCCCAGGCAAUAAGAAAACCCAAAAAAAGGGGUUGAAUUUCGAACUUAAAAACAGUCGAGGGCAUUUGUUUCUUUGGGACAAAGGGCGAAGAACAUUUGGGCGAUGAUGCUUUGGUUUAUAGACGCUCGACGUGGUUACUCUCAGGUGCGGCCCAGAAGCAAUUUGAAAGCCUCUUCUUGCAAUUGGAAUUUGGAUGUAUGAGUUAUUUACAUUUUACUGUGUGUUGUCAAAAUGCUUGAGGUUUUGAAAAUUACACCAACUUCUCCUGAAGUCUCAAAUUAUUCUCAUUAAAUCCGAUUUUGUUAAUUUUUCGUACAAAAGUUAAUGAUUUUAUAUAUAAUAAAGCUUACGCAAAUAACAAAUUUAAUUUCGGUUUGAUUAAAAGAAUAGCUUGUAAAAGGCUUGAAACUUAAGUGGUUAAGAGGAUAUAAUCCCGUCCUAAGUUCAAUUCCCUUCUACCGAAUUUCGCCUAUAAAAAUCGAAGUACUAAAUUUUUUAUUAUUUGAAGACAUUUUUUUAUAUAAAAUCAUCAAUUAUAGAAGGAAAAAUCAAUGGAAAAAGGUUUCGAGAAAAUAAUUUAAUACUUUAUGGAGUAUUUGUGUAAUUUUUGGAACUACAAAGGGUUUAGUAAAAGCACAAGUUUUAGUGUAAAUAACUCUGAAAUGUAUCCCCAUAAAAAAAAUUAUAAAAAAUUAAAAAAUUAAAAAAACUAUGAAAUGUAUAGUACAGUCCCGAUCUCUUGGACCACAGGAGUCCAAGAGAUUGUGGUCACCCACCGUUGGAUAUUAAUCCAAUGGUUCAAAAUGAUAUAUAUAAAUGCAAUAUGACAUAAAUGAUUAUUACCCGAUUCAAGUCAACCGUUGAAUUUACAUCUAACGGUGAGUGACCAUAACUCUCUUGGACUACAGGGGUCCAAGAGAUCAGGACUGAUGUAUAGUAUACCCGUAAGAUUUUAUUCUUCUAUUUUUGUACAUUAAAUACUUGUUUAUCCUUUUUAUAUUUGAAUCUGUUGAGUAAAUUGCCUCAUUAAUUUUUUAUUAACUUUUUUUAAUGUGAGCGUGUCAUUGUUAGCAAAUAAUACCCUAUGAAUUUGAAUGACUUUAUACACUUGAGCCCCAAGUAAUAGACUUUAAACAAACGAUUGUGAUUUUGGAUGGGGGAACCUCCUAAGAGAGUUCUUUUCUAUCCCUCAGACUGGUGAGGACUUCACAAUUUAUCUAGACAAAAAUGGUAAGUAAAGCAAAAUACAUAAUUUGUGGUGAAUAUAACAGACUAAUCCAAGCAGAACUGCCUUAAGCACAAAGCAUAAAAUGAAUUGCUAAAUCUAGACGGGUGUCAAAUUGUUGUACUUUGACUUCUACUUAAAAAUACAAUCAAAAUGAUGUUUUAAGGUCAGGCUGGACUGGAUAUUUCUGCACUGAAAUUGCACGUCAAUAUCUUCAACAAACAUAGAUUAGUUGGAAAUCAAUACCAAUGUUGGUAUUGGCAGAGCUAUAAACAAGUUGAGCCAAUAUGUAGGCUGGAAAAGUGAGCAGAACUACAGGCAAGUACCUGUUCUAGUUGGUUGUGUAUGAUGUGGAAGAUUUCUAGACAAUUUUAAGACAUUGAGGUAUCUUUAUAAACUUGUUGAGGUUUUCAUAUGAUGAAAGACCUGACUUCUAUUUGUGUUAUCUUAUUUGCUUUGUAACACCCCGACUCCAAAAUUAAUGUCUAUUUUAAUUGAUUUAAAUUAAAUUACGAAUUUACCCUUGGGGUAGGGGUAAAUUGGUCAUUUUCUUAUCCGGAAGGAUUUUGGGACCACGAAUGGUAUUUUUGGGUAUGUGGUACUGAGACGAAUUCGUAAACACGCGGUAGGCUUGAAUCGGAGCUGUAACGAAAAUGUUACGAUCAAAACAUUAUCAGUGGCAAACUUGUAAAUAUUUCAAAAAAGUUUGAUAAAAAUCAGAUUUUUUCACUUCAGCUCUCUCUCUCUCUCCUCGCACGCACUCGACUCUCUCUCUCCUCAGUCUCUCUCUCUCCCCGACACCAACACACUCUCUCUCUUCGGUUCUCUCUGCACCGGCCACGGCCAGGCACGCCACCAGUCCCGAUCGAUUCGCCUCGAUGUCCCGAUCAAGUCUAGCCGAUUUUCCCCAUCGGAAACCACGAACUCCGGCCACGAGCUCGACUGGUUUGAACCAGAGCUUUCCGAUCGUCGCGCCGCCUCCUCCGCCGCCCAAACCUGGUGAGUGAGGUAUGGUUUCUCAUCCUUUUUCCGAGUUCUAGCUGAUUGUUGUAUAGGUUUGGACCGAUUUGUUGUCUAGAAAAUCGAUUAGAAAACUUAGGUUUUGGCCGGAUUUCAAAGUAAAAUUCCGGCCAGUUGCCGCCCGAAUUGGACCUUCCCUUAGUUGAAUGAAGUGAUCCUGACCUUGAGUAAAAGCUAGGAUAUGAAGGGUGAGCUCGGGUGGAGUUUUUCCGUUAUCGGAAUUACUCUGCACACCCACGAGCUGCCGGCGCCUGUGGCUGCGCGUGGGCGAGGCUGGUAAAGAUGCAAUUUUACCCGAUGAGAUCCUUAUGUUGUCACGAGCGUAUAGAAAUUCACGGAUCUCAAUUCGGAUGUCGUUUGGCUAUCGAACGAAUUUUCGCAUAUUGUGAGUUAUUGGGUUCGAUAGGUUCCGACCAUUGGAUCUUUUUCAAAUUAAAAUAUGUUGUUCUAGGUAUUCCUAGGACCGUAUGGGACUUCACGGAUUAUGAAUCGGGGCCCUGGAUGUUUCGAUUCAAUAAUGCAAAGUUGGCUGGUUAGCGAUAACCGUAAAAAUCGUGAACGAUUCCUAAACCUGUAAUAGGACCUUAGGAUACCUUCUUCAACGUGCACGUAUUGGGAAUUUGGGGAUUUAAGCAUUUAAUUUGUGAUUUCCACUUCGAUGUAAUUUUAUAUUAAUUAAGGUUCGUAUCUCGAAAUAGGUGUUUCGACUGCACGUACUCAGCAAGCAGGACCCUCACGUGGUCAGGCAGCGUGGGAAUAUUUGUGAGUGGACUUUGUUUUCAAUCAAUGCAUGGUUUUAUUGAUGAAGGAUUUUUGCAUAAUGUUUUUAUGGCUUAUUGAAUAUAUUAUAUUCAUGAGAUGAAUUUGAUGUUGUAUAGCGCGUUGGCAAUAUAUUGUGAGUUUGGCAUUUUGGGUAUUGAGAGUGUAUUUUUAUAAGGGUUGUGGGGAAGUAUAUGUAUAUUAUUCUCUAUAGACGAGAUACUUGGGUUGUUGAAGGGUGUUGUGGAAGAACUUGAUUAUGAUGGGUUGUUGAGAGAAGUUGUAUGAUUAUACUAUGUAAGUACCUUCCCCAAGUAUUAGACUUUUCACACGCGGCGUUGGAUGUUCCGGCGUGUAGGAAGAAUAGGUUACCCGUCUCACUCGUGGCGUUGGAUGUUCCGGCGUGUGAGACACUUUCCAUAUGCGGCGUUGGAUGUUCCAGCGUAUGGAAAGACUCUGUAUAGUGUUUAGGGUCAUCACCCAUGGCGUUGGAUGUUCCGGUGUGUGAUGAUCCAGUCUGCGCACGUAGGACUUAGUUUGGGAGCCACACAUGGCGUUGGAUGUUCCGGUGUGGGAGCUUUAGAGUUUCGUCCCCCGGUUGGACCGCUCAUCCCUAGACGCAGGAUAGCACCUGGAAAUCCUGCGAACUAGUCAAACGAUUCCCUAGUUGGAUUGCUUCCCCGGUACCUAGGUAGUGUGAUGAGUAUAUCGUAUAGCUAGUUAUAGUUAUAUUCUUAUAUAUAUAUAUAUAUAUUUAUAUUUAUAUGUAUAUGUAUAGUUGAGUGAGUGAAGAAUUAGAGUUUUUCAGUGGUUUGGCAAGAGUUGUAAAAUUGAGAGAAUGAGGUUUUUGAAGGAGAUGAUUUGUAUUAUGAAGAGUUUUAAAUGAAUCAUGUUUUGAGUAAUUAAUUUGAAUUGUGAACCUGCAUGACUAGAGCAUUAUUUUUACAUGGUGGGGUUAUUAUAUUAUUUUUAACUGCGAAUUUGGUUUUUGUCCACUCACAUGUUUUCUGUUUUGCGCCCCCCAGCCAGUAGUCGCUCUAGGAAGCGUGCAAGUGGUGUUCGAGGCUCGAACUGUGAAUCUUCCUAGUUAGGAAUUGAGUAAUUUCUUCUACUCAACUGUUCUUGUAAUCUAAAUUCAAUAGAUGCUCUAUUAUCGCCCAUGGUAGAUUUUACUUGUGAGGCCGGAGGCCAUUUUAGUAUGACUUGUUGAAUUAUGAAAGCAUGCUGCUGGUUGGGAUUUUUAUUUGAUGUGCGUUGCAGGUUGAAAUUUUUUGUUAGGUUUGCUUAAAUUACAGGGGAGACUCUGCCAAAAUUUUUGGUAGAAAGUCUCGAUUUCUUAGUAAGUGGGCCCGGCAUCGGGAAGAUGUCGGAACAAAGACGGGGUCCGCUUCGGUUUCCAGGAAAUUCCGGGGCAGGUCCUGUCAUGCUGAACCAAAUUUGUAAGAGAAUUCAAUCCAUUAUAAGUUAUGAUUGAAAUACAUUGUUAUAUUGCAAAAAGAAUCUCGUCUUCUUUUUGGCUGUCUGAGAUUUUGUUUGAGUUGGGUUGCUUCCUAUAGAAGAUUGCUUGCUUGCCUUUGAUAAUUGCAAGAUCAUUUGAUCUUUGAUUUCUUUUGAUCAGUCUAGACUGAUUGUUGAGUUUUUGUUUGAUUGGUUGGUUGGUUGGUUGGGUCCCCUCUCCAAUCCAUGCAUUCUUGUAUUUAUAAGAGAAAAAUGAUGAUGAAGAUUGUUAAGCUCAUAAUUUCAUGCAUAUACAUGCCCUAUUUACUCACUCAUUUUGCUUAGUUUCUUAGAAUUUUAGGCCAAUAGAGCGAAAGAGAAUAAUUCAUGCAAUUCAAGCAUGUUAAGGCCAGAUUGGGAUGAAUGGAAGAAGAGCUUAAAGACAAACUCAUUUUGGCUACAGGCCCUCGCCAGUCCAAUUUCGUAAGUCACAUUGCAAGACUUGUUUCAGCAAACUACACAACUCAAAUGAGGCAUACUUCUGCAUGAAAGUUGUUCCAAUGGUUGUCUAUUAUAACAUAUCCAAAAUUCAGCCCUAUUUGAUAAAUCUGGAGUCCGUCACCUAUCAAACACAGAACCAUGCUCAGGAUGGAUUUUGUCAACGUGCCAAAUGACAUGUGGCUGAAAAGAAGACAUUCUGAACUUCAAGUUUGUGGGCUCAAAGUCAUCAUUUGCUUAAGGGUAGCCCAAUUCGUAAGCCUUGAAGUUGCUGGUCAUGCUAACCUAAGGAUGAGCUAAGUGUGCUUGGUCAUAAUGACAUAAGCAUGAGGUGUUAUUGAUUGUGGGGAAGUUAGGUGAAGCAUAUGCAUUUCUUAUAUUUGAGUGGAGUUUUGCAGCAGCCAAAGGGAAUAAAACAAGAUGAAGUGGGAGCUGCAAUACUAAGCCUAAAGAGAAGAAGAACUGUUUUCAAAUGCAAGUGUGUUUUAGGUGAAAUAGGUGUGGUUAGUGAACUUACUUGUAUAAUCUGAUUCACUUAACCCUUAUACCUAUAAAUAGAGAGUCUCCAAAGAGCUAUGUAGUCAAGAAAAUUCAAAUCCAUCAUUUACACUUACAUUGUACACAAAGAGAGGAAGAGUUAAGAGUCACAAAGGGAGAGAAGAGAAAAGGCAGCAGCUGGGAGGCUUUGGCCUCCUGGCAGCCAUGGAGAUAAAGCUUUUCCAUCUCUAGCAUGAUGUCCCUAUCUUUUUCUCCUCCCUUUGUCUUUUAUUUUCUUCUUGUAUUUCCUUAGCUUUACUUUGUUUUUCUGUCAUUAGUUAAUAAACAUCUUGCUAGUCUUGUAUCAUGGUUUGAGUUUAUAAAGUUUGAUUUCAUUCAUGAAUUCUUCUUCACUGUUUUAAUGGAGCUAUUUUGCAUCCUUUGAUUGAUCACCUGAGGAUUUAUGCAUUUUGCUCUUGUUGGUUGAUUGAUCACCUGAGGAUUUAUGCAUUUUGCUCUUGUUGGGAAGGUUUGGGGAUCAUCUUCAUUCCAUCCAUUAGCAACUCAUAUGAUUUGGUUUCCAGGACGCCUAAUGUAAACACAAUGCUUUGGGGUCCUUGUGAUGUUCAAUGCAAUUUGAUCCAAACUGUUUAGGCCAAAAUUCUACCCGUCAUCCCAUUUUUGUCGAGAGGCCCAUGAACCAAACAUUUGGGCUUUCAUCUAUAGGAAUCAUAAGGAAAAAAACCAAGACACUAGAAAAGCCCAGAUCCUUUUGAACAAAUUACAAAAGCAGCCAUGAUCUGAAAAGAAUAAACUACUAUUAUUUACAAUUAAAGAGCCGAUACACACAGUGUUGGAUAAAUGCCCAACUUCUGAGAAGAUCUCACCACUUGGUCUCUAUCCCAAAAAGCCAAAACAGCAUAUCUUUUUCUCAAGGAAGCGCCAGCGUGAAUUUCUGACUUUGAAAAAGUCAAAAUUUUCAACUAUCACAGAGGAGUUGAUAAGGAGUUAAUGAAGGCAGGUUUUACAGGAAGACUUCUCCAUUGUUUGCAGCCAAAGAAAGAAGAUCAAAAUCCCUUUUUAUAAACAGAGAAACUCUACACUAAAGCAGGUGACCUUUCCAAGAGAUAAGCAGACUACAUUCUCAAGAGAUAAGUAGGGAGCAAGGGAGUUGUUCAACAGGAAAAGCAAACUGACCAUCAUGACAAAUUGUGUAAUAACCCAAACCUUAAUUAAUAUUUAAUUAUUAUUUUAUUAGAAGGAAAUACAAUUUUGCCCUUGGAAUAAUUUAUUAAAGAAAAGUUAACUUUUUGACAGAGAAAGAAUUUGACAAUUCCACACACACCGUUGCGUAAAGCGCGACGAAAUGAGUCCGUAGACACGUAGCAAGCUUAAAUCGGAGCUUUAACGAAGAAAAUAUGGUCAAAAUACGUAGAGGGGCAAAAUGAUAAUUUGCAAAGUCAGAAUUUUAAAACCCCAAUUCUCUCUCUAUCACGAUCUCUUCUUCCCCUGGUUCGAAAACCCCCCAGCCGAACCUCCAUAACUACCCAGCCACUGCCACACCUCGCCCCGACCCACCAGACUGGACCUAAUCGCACCAGCGUCAGCUCCGCCGCCAAGCCCGACCUUCCCUGCCACUCGGCUGUCACGGUUUCGUAGGAAAAAUUGAAAAUUUCAUCCGGUUUAGUUUGAAAUUUCACAGCCGUCGAUCUCCGUAUUCUGACCACCAAAUUGGACGAUAAAGGUAUGGACCCUUACCUAUUUUUCAUGACUUAGCUGUUGGUUGGGUAGGAUUGAACGAUUUCUAGCCUAGGUAGAUCAAACCACAAUCCAAAGCUCGGUCGGUUUUGAGAUUGAAAUUUCGGCCACUUUCGGCUAGUUUUUGGGGUACGUCCAAGAACAAAAGUGGUUCCAAAUAGGUUGUUUUACAUAGAGUAGGAGUUUGGGCCGGUGGUUUGGAGUUUUUCCGACUGCCAGAAAUUUAUCAAGCCACCCACUCACUGCCGGCGCGUGUGGCGGAGCGUGGGCAGUUUAGUGGAGACCACAUUCAGUCCUAGAAUGAUCCUCGUGUUGUCAUGAGCGCGUAGGAAUUCGCAGAUCUCAAUUCGGAUACCGUUUGAGCCUCGAACGGAUUUUGCAUAUUGUAUGAUUUCCGGGUUCAAUACAAUUGAGCCGUUGGAUCGUAAUCAUUUUCAGAUAUCUUAAUCUACACAAUUCCAGGAUCGUUUAGGAUUUGACGGAUCGUGAAUCGGAGUUCCCAAUACUCCAAAAUCGCGAACCCUAGGGCUAGGGUUUUAGAAAUCAUUCGAUUGUAUGAUCGUGAUCAAUCCGACCGUCCGAUCGAGAUCAAACUCUCAGGACAUGUGUCCUGGGUAUAUUGGAACUUCUAGAGGCUUAUGGAUCAUAAUUUUGUGGUCGAACGUGCACAGGGUCUGGCUCGGAUUCCAAAAUGGAAUUUGGGUCGGGUCCUAUCCAAUUGUGUCUUUCCUUCUUUACAAGGAACAAAUAGAGAACAAAAGGAGUUGAUUUUCUUUUUGGGAAAAGCAAGGAAAAGAUCACCAUGGGAACUUAUUAUUGAUGGUUCUUCUCUGCCAGAAUAGAUAGCUUCCCCUUUUUGUGGCAUUUAAAAAGAAAGAUCUUUUGAAAAGAUUUGCCGUCCAUUAUUCAAAGAUUAAAAACCUUACUCCAGCAUUUCCUAUAAAAUAAGAGAGAGGGUGAACAGAUGAAGGACAGCCUAAAAAUCAAUCAAGAUAAAAACUCUCAAAGUCAUAACUGACAAACUCAAAAUGAUCAAUUGAUCUUAAAAGCCUUCAAACACUGAAGUGACCAAAGCUCAUCGAGCCACAAGAAACAAAUCAACUAUAAUUCAAAUCUCUGUUUUCGGUUCAGUCAGAGAAACUGUUUUACAAAGCGAGAUUUCUCUUGUUACAAAUUUGGUUCAGCACAAAGCCAAGUCAAGCAGAGUCAGGAUUUUUCACAAAUAUGAAAACCUCAACAAAUUUACAGAAAGCCUUGGUCAAGCAGGACAGGCACCAUAGUGCAGUUCCAGCUCAGUGACCAUCAAUCGAGCCACUUUUGUUCUCUUCAGACUGGAGAUGCCUCAAUUCAACCCUUUCAACAAGCCUUCCAUGGCUCGAAAUAAAUUGAAGCUCUGCCAAACUCAAAUGUCGGUAUCCAUUUCCAGCUAAAACUCAUCAGUUGAAGGUGUUGACGAUCCAAUCCAACACAGACACAUCCAAUCCAGCCCAGUUCAGAAGCAGCUACCCAGGCAGAAAUUGAAGUCGAACGCUCUGCUGUCUAUUCUGGAGUUGGCUUUUUCUCUUUCUGAGCUUUGUAAUGAGCAGUUCUGCCUAAACAGUUUACUUUCUUUUCAUUUAUUCUGGCCAAAACUACCAAUUUUGUACUGUGAAAAAUUAUGAAGUUCUCACCAGUCUGAGGCGAGAAAAGAACUUAUUUGAGAGAUAUUCCUCACCCAAAUUCACAAUUGCUUGUUUAAAAGUCAGUAACUUGGGGCGCAAGUUAUCUAUUUUUUAGAAGUCUGCUAGGGUUUUGAACUGCUAGCAGUGGCACGCUCACGCACAAAAGAAAGUUGAUUUGUUAACCACUAAUGGUUGUCAAGCCAAUGGGGAACUUUACCAUACCAUCACAGGAUUAAAAUCAAAACGGGUGAACACAAACACCAUGGACUUAUUUGUGAGGAUCGUCAUGAUUGAAUCAAUUUUUUUACUUGCUGCCAUAACGUGAUUAGAACAAUUAGGGUGGAUUCUAAAACCUCACCAUCUUGUCUUAGUUCUUUUCUUUCUUCUUCUUUUGUGUUCUUUUGUGUUCUUUUGUUUUCAUUUCUGUUUUGUGUAGGAAAACUGAAUUGGAUCAUUCAAUCAUCAAUCCCUGUGAAAUUGACCUUGCACUUACAUAUGCUAAACUACCAACGACUCGUGCACUUGCGAGUAUCACAAGUUGAGGAUGCAGCUGAAUCCAUUAUGGUGCAGCGUUGAAUCGACGCAACAAAGAUAUGGAUUUUUUUUUUUAAAAUUUUGGACUAGCCCCCAUUUCAUGCAAAAGUGGCAAAAGUUUUGUCAUUCCAAUGCAUUGAUCGUUUUUGGCACCUGCUCAUCAAUACUCCUGAAUGUCUCCUAAUCAUUCCUUUUGCAACAACUAGACUGAAGCAAGCAAUAAUUUCUAGAUUCCUCCAAUGUUGGUACCAUAAAUAACCAAAUACUCUUGGAAAAGAAAAAAUCCGAUGAUCAUAUAAUAAAUAGCCGUGAUUCUCAAGCAAGUCUAACUUUUACUUUUCAACUUUUAAGGUCAUCAAUUUUCCUUGUAGUUUAGUCACGAACGAUGAGGAAAUAUCCUUAAAAACUUUAACAGCUAAGAAAUUGUGAAUUUUGGACUGAAACUAAUUGAAAUAAUUUGAUUCUUGGAUUAAAUCACCACUUGUGGUAAUUCAUUUACCAAUUUAUCAAAAAAUCAUGAAUUAGUUAAAUCCCCCUUUGGCUAAAUAGUAAGGACUAGUCACCAUUUUUGAUAAACACAGCCCAACGUUUUGUAAAAUGAACCCAAUAAACCAUUUUGGCUAGCUCGUAGGAUUUAAGCCCAAACAAUACCUGUUCGGCUAGAAUUUUAAAAAAAACAAAUUAUUUUAUUAUUAUUCUAUUUUUGAUAAGAUUCUAGAAAUUUGUCUAAUCUCAUACCGGAUGUUUUGGGGGCACUUUUUUAUGCCAUGCGUUCUCUGAUGUGCAUUCAGGGGCUUAAUAAAAUAGUCUCACUUCGUCAUCUUUUUAUCGCACAAACACGUAUUUGCACAUCAAAAUUCAACACUUCGGUAUUUCUCUUCCAAUUUCAACCAUAAUUAGUAUUGUCUCAAAAUGACUUCAAACAUGACUCCAAAAGGCAUCGAUGCAUAGUGACUUGGAACACAAUCCUAAAACGUGUUAGUUGCUUGAUCCGAUCAUCAAUUUCAUUCAGAGUGACGAUUUUUUUUUUUUUCAACAACUCUUCUACAACAUUUGACCAUUUUUUUCUUGUUGAAAGUGACAAGUUUUGUCGACUUACAAAAAAAACUAUGCCAAAAUGGUAAUACUAAAGUCCUUAUCUAACCCCUAUAUCUCUUCAAUUGAGAGAUUUUUGGGGUUGACCCUUGUAGGAAGCAAGUGUUGGGUUCUUCAAAGACUAGGUAGAUAGAUAAUUCAAAAUUUUACCCAAUUUCUUAGGAUUUGGAUUUCAGCAAAGUGUUUGAUAGCAUUCUUGCCCUCCACGAAUGCUGGUCUAAAGAAUUUUAAUCGGGGGAAAGAAAACCCACACUCCAACAAAUAUUGUGUUUGAACAUUAAAGACUAAAAAAAUGUGUUUUAGCUAUAAUAUAGAAGAAGCCAGAGAAAAAAAAUUUAGCCCAGCCCUAUAUAAAUUCCUUUAUUCCGCCCUUGUUUGGGUGGGAUGAGAAAAUUUGUGUUUGAAAGGGGGAAUGGAGGAAGGGCCUGUAAAGAGGGAAGGGGGAUUGGAUUUCAAGGUGAGCGGGGUUAGUUGGAGCCACCGGAGGUGCACAGAUGAUGGGGUAAGGUGAUAUUUUUUUUAUUUUCAAUUUUAUUUUUUUAUAAUGAAUUUUCUAUUUUUAAAAUACCCUUGAAAAUGGAAAGACUAAAAUACCCUUAAAUAUAGAUGGAAAGUUGGUGUUAAAGUGAGAUGACAAAUCAUGAAUUUUGAAAAAUUAAGAUGUCAUUUCUCUUAAUUUUUUCUUUAAAAUGACAACUUGAUUUCAAGAUAUAAGUUCAUGUGACAUUUUAAAAAAUAAUAAUAAUAAAUUGCAUAACAUCAGAUUUUUUUUUUUUUUAUUUAAUGCAAAAAAAGGGAAAUUACAAGCAAAAAUCACGCGAACACGCAGUCCCAAACAAGUUGAAAAAGAAAGGAAUCGGACAAUUCAAAGGCAGACCCGCAUCCCAUAACUCUAUGACUAUUGCACCAAGUAAAAGGAAUGCCAGCAGCACAAGAGAAAUAAUUUCACCAUCAUUAAUAAAGCCAUUAAAAUCUGCCAAAGCAGACAUCAAAUGAGUGUAACCACCUAAUUUCUCACUAGGGGCGCAUAUAUUAUUAAAGUCCCCCAUAAGAAUCCAAGCUUCAGAAGCCGCAUGUUUGAGGCCAAGGAUAUCAAUCCACAGCUGAUGUUGUUUUUGUUUCUAGGGAUAAGCAUAGACAAAAGUAGCUUUCCAAUUUUUUUGGUCAAUAAGAUCUUGAAUGUGGCAGUGAAUGAAACGCUCAUGGGAAUCUAAAAUGGUUAUAUUAAUAAAAGAAGGAUUCCACAAUAAGAAUAUCCAUCCACAAUGACCAAGGGCAUGGAUACAAAAGAAACCAUCAAAACCAAGCCUCUGAGCAAUAACCUCAGCUCAACCCUAGAGGCUCUGGAAUCCAAAAUAUAGAAAACAUUCAAACUAGACGUACUAAUAUAAAAAAGGGCUUGCAAAAUAAAGCCAGGCCAACCACUGCCUUGGCUAUUCCAGAAUAACAUCUUCAUGGAUUGGGGCUAGGGGUGUUACCAACCAAGGGUUCAGUCUCCCUCAGAUACUCUCCAUGCAUCUCAACACUUGGAGCAUAAUUCUCUUCCACUUCCACCUCAUCACGAGUUCUCUUCUUAGGACUCUUGUAAGCGAAACCAGUGAAGGCACUGCUGCCUUCUUGGGAAUGAGCAGGGGCAAUCACAACAGCCCUACCCUUCCCCUUGCUAAUAUGGUCAACUGGAGAAAACUUAACCCCAACAUCACGAGACCCACCUCCUUCAGUAAAUUUGAUUCCCUUAGCAACUUCUUUAAAAGUUCUCCUAUCCCUUUCUUGCAUUUUGGCUUUGCCUUUACGGUUAGCCACAACCGUCCACCCUGGGUCCUAUACCUCAGUGGGCACCUUCUCACCCUGGUCAGAAUUUUCCUCUGCAAAAUAGUCCACAGUUAUAGGCUGUGGGAACACCAGUAUGACAUCAUCAGCUAGUUUUUGUUGCUCUUCAAACUCAAGGACUCAUUCCCUAAGGAACACAUUAGGUUCGUUCUCUAAUAUUUCAACCUGCAUGGCCACAUAUCUUUCCGGCUAAGGAGUGGGAAACCUUUCUCUUGUUACAUGAAUCCAAUUUUCAUUUCACCUGGGAAAAGCCAUCAGAAAGCUUUUGUUUGAAAUUUUGAUAGGGCAAAUGUGAUCGCGCUCCAUCUUCUGGCUACAAUAGAAACAGAUCGCAAAAAGGGCUUCAUAGCUAACAAAUAUUAUGGUUUCCUGGGGAUGCUCACCCAGAACUAGGCAUCUUUUUAGGGGCCUAGUUAGGUCUAACACAAGGUGAGCUCUAACAAACAUAAUCUGUUUACCCUCUGUAGACUGCAGGUCCACACUAAUAGGAUCUCCAAGGAUAGAGACCAAAUCAUAGAGAACCUCAGGGUCUUUGUAAUGGAGGGGCAGAAAGGGAAUUCUGACCCAGCCCACAAUGGAUGUCACAACAGCAUAAAAGGGUGAGAAAUCUGGGGUCCAGCGCUGCAGGUUAAAAAUCUGACCUUGGACAAACCAGGGUCUGUUAUCCAAAACGAAAAAAACAUCAACUUCAGCAUUGAACUCCACCUUAUACCAGUCUCGACCAAUAUGGUCAAUAGAGACCUCACCCUGCAGGUUCUUCCACUCACUCUUGAGCCUAUGCCUGAUAACUCUGCUAUUCACAGGAACUCCAAAGACUUUCCCUACCAAGCAGAAAGUCUCAUUGAGUUUGGACACUAGACGCAAGAGCAGAGGUGGAGACUUUGGUUUCAUUUCUUUCAAUCCUAAAGGUAAAUAUGCCCUUGUGUAACACAGAGGGUUCCACAGAAGACCUACUCCCCAAUCUGGGAGAAGACGUCGGACUCAAACUACGGGAUUUCGCCCGUGAAGAGCUAGCAUUAAGUUGAGCACUCAUGGUUGGAUGAGAGGAAAGUGAGCAAGGGCAACAGGUAUUAAGAGGAAAUUUAGAAGGUGAGAGUACGCGGUGGAGAUAUCUGGUUUUAAUUUUCUUAUAAAUAGCCAGUAUGAAGCUCUCAAAAUGAUUACAAACAUAUCCAAACCUCCAAUGCAUGCAAAGAUGAAGAAAGGGGAAAGAAGUUAUCUGACCAGAGUUGCUAAAAUCAGCAUCGAGCACCUCCCAAAUCAUCAGCAUCAAAAGGGGUUUCCAAUUUCUGGGGUAAUGAUUUAGUCUGAGACGAUCCUGGCCAUUAGAUUGAAAAAAGAAUGCAAGAUUAGAGUGAAUGAAAUUAAUGCAAGAUAGAGGACGAAGCAAAUUGCAAAAAUUGCACUUCCCAAAGGGAGUUCAUCAGCUGAUGCAUCGUAAAUCUCAAACGACUUCUUUUUAGCGCCACCUUGUGGUUUGGAUGAUGGAUCAACAAUCAUUUCGCAACCCAAUCACGGCAAAAGCUUUGGGGAGAAGAACCGAUUCAAAGUCUUCCCAAUACAAACAACCAUAGCUUCAGACCAACUUUUAGAUGUAAUAAUUGAACCCGCAAGCUUCACUUGAUCAUCCCUUUGAGCUUUUUGUCUUGCCUUUUUCUUCCUUCUUUUCCAAUUUCCCACCCUCUCAAGGACUGCCCUAAUCCCCUUUUUGCUCUCGUUCUUCAUUUUUCUGAAUUAAUUCAAUCAAUUCAAAAAAUUCAUUUCCAGGCACUUAUUUUUUCAUGGCUUGGGGGGCAAUGAACUAAGAAUCAAUCCUUGAAAACUAUAAACCAAGUAAAGAAUAAACAAGGCCUCUUUUUAUAUUUUGGCGAACGAAGAGAAGUACAUUGAACAUAAAUUUAUUCCAAAAAAACAGUGAAAUUGUUCCUUGACCUCCCUCUUGAGAUCCACACAUCUUUGCACAUCUAUUAGUGCGGGAUAGAUUCAUCCUAAAGACAACAAUUGCCAAACCACCCUACUUUGCAACUCCAUCAGAGCCGAGUUUUAUGUCCCCUGAAUUCCCAAUUCCUUAAGCAUUGCAGAUAUCGCAUUCCUAAUCGUUAAGGUCUCGGUAAAAAAGCUAACACAAGAGAAGACAAUGAGAAAAUGAUGCUUAUCGAGUCCUUCGAUGCCAUGUUGACAUGAUUACAUAUGAAUCUAAUCAAUCAUUGACACUGAAGUAGUUCCUAUAAACCAACCGUGGCCGCUUAAGUAGGCUAGCUGCAUCUCAGAGGACAAUAACUCAAAGAGCAAGGGAUAAAGGAUUGAGAGUCAUUCUUAUCUUUUGAAAAAUGGACAGAAAUUAGCUUCUUCCACUCCUCAACCAAAAUACAAUACAUUGUACCCUAAUAGAAGCAUUAUAUGCGCACAUUCUACAAAAUCAACUUUCAAGGGUAACCAAAGUCGGGAACCAUAAACAGAAGAAAUUCUAGCGACUCUACGGCAGGCAUUUGUUCUAAUAAGAAAGCAUAUAUAAAUCUAAUUAAAAACAGGUAGGCUGCCGAGUAGAAGAAUAAAAAACUGAAUUUACUUCCUGCAAAAUUUUAGUAAGAUGUGGGAUACAAUUUAAACCUUACUUUAAAGACAAUUUCUAGGGUAGAGGACAGCAUUAUAGUAUUGUGCCAAAUGCAAUCUAAUGCAUAUGAGUGAUGCAGCAUCAGGUGGCUAAAAUAAUUACAUCCUCACCCGUUUCAACAUAUCAGAUCAGACAGACUGGAUAUCUACCUUCCCUUGAUACACACUUAACAAUUCAGGUACUUCGCCAAGAUAUCUGUUCACAAAAAUCUCCAAGAACUGCUUCUCUGUUCGUUUCAGCAGAGAACCCAGAUUCAAGUUCUCAUUUAUGAAACCUUUCAACAACAGAACUUUAACAACAGAGCACCUUGGGAUAAGUCUCCUCUCCAAACUGAGACUGAGGACCACAGGAUAUUUGGCAAUCAUUCCUGACGACCAUCCCAUCUUGUUCACUAAAAGAUCCAUUGCUUGCAUAAGUUUCUUCUCCGAGACAAUCAUACACUGCGGGUUCUUCCUGAAGGCAGAGAGAAAAUCACCCUCAGACCAACCCCAUGUCUUAAGAACUUCGCGACUUCUACUCCAUACCAACUUAUUCUUACCGCACAAUGCACACAGGGCAUUCACUGAAGUUGAUUUUUCUAGAUUAAAUCCCAUUUCCUUAACCUCACCCACAAGUUGACCAAAGUUUUCAGCAUUUGCCAUCAAAACACGGGUACCACGAUUUAGCAAAGAAGAAAUGCAUGGUUGAGGCAUGCCCAAUUCUCUCAAAAGCCCAAUAUUUGGCACCACAUGCUUGCAGUGACCUUCCAAGAAAAUCCAUGAGUUGCGUUUUAAAACAGCAACAACAUUUUUCUCAGAGAGCAUACUCCUGAGGAAGUUAUAAGUGGGCAAAAUCCGAUUUCUCAAGCUGGCUGACAAAAGGUGUGGAUUAAAAGCCAGAGUUUUUGCAAAGUCCACUUUUGAAAUUUCAAGAGAGCUGAAAAACUCAAGCUUUGGCAAAAGGGUUUUCUCAGGAUCAGCUGAAAGAAGUUGUGGAUGUGACCUAAUAAGCUUUGAUAUCUGGGUUUGAGAUGCUCCAUGGUUUCUCAGAAGCUCUAAAACGGAGUCUGCUCUUUCUGGUGACUGCAACUUGACCCACUUAGAAGCUAAAAUCGCUCCUUCUGGGGACAAUCCACAAGUGUUUAUGAGGUAAGUGACUGUGAAAUUGUGUUGGUUUUCUGAGAUUUCAGAGGUGAUGUGUCUGCAGAGCAACUGACUCUGAAGAGAAAAAUGUGAGGGUUUUGGAUCUCCAACCAACACUCUGUUUGUUUUGGAAGCAAAUGUACAAGAAAAUAUUGAGUGAACCAAUCUGAAAGUCUUCAAAUUGCAGAGUUGAAUCAUGUUAGAGGUUGAUGAUGAACAAUUUCUACAUGAAAACUUAAAGCCCAAGCUGAUUCUCUGCCUUCAGAAAAUAUGCAGUUCUCGGCAUUCUAAAAAGAUUUGAACCAUCCAAAUAAAAUUGCCUGGUAUAGGAUAAACCAUUGCGGCUAGGGUAAGUUUUCUUACCAUUUUCACAACUGACGGUCACUGGCUCACUGCUGCCAUCCAUGGUGGUAGGAAAUCUUCUGCCAGAAAAACCUCUUCAGUCUUCAUCGCUACAAAUCAAAGCAAAGAAAUUACUCCAAUCCCAGGCAAUAAGAAAACCCAAAAAAAAGGGUUGAAUUUCAAACUAAAAAACAGUCGAGGGCAUUUGUUUCUUUGGUACAAAGGGCGAAGAACAUUUGGGCGAUGAUGCUUUGGUUUAUAGACGCUCUACGUGGUUACUCUCAGGUGCGGCCCAGAAGCAAUUUGAAUGCCUCUACUUGCAAUUGGAAUUUCGAUGUAUGAGUUUGUUUUUACCCAGUUUUGGUAAAUGGACCAAAAAUUGUCCAAAGGAUUAAAAGAAUAUCUCAAAGAUAAAGCCAGGUCCAUUAAUGUUUGUCAUUUCUUGAAAAGUCACCUUUUUCUUAACAGGCUUUUUGAAUAAAUUGAUGAGAAGGCCCAAAUCAUAAAUGACCAAAUCCUUAUCUUGCACUAAAGGCCAAAAAAUUGAUAAACGUGUUUUCUAGGCUCACAUAGGAGAUUAAAGGGGAUUAUCACAUUUAAUGACGACUUGAACUUUUUCUCUCCCAACAAGAAAACAAGUCGUAUAGAAGCCACCAAAACCAGAGAAAGAUCAAAUUGCCCAUCAGUUCUUCAAGUACAAAGGGGUCAAAUCAAGAGAGCUUCACAAGGAAAACUGACGGUUCCUGCCAAAAGCCUUCCAUCAUUCCCUCUAUGAACCAGUUAAGACCAACAAUCCAGCAGCUGACCUUGAACCACAAGCCAAAGGUCUUGUCGCAGUUUCCAUCAUUACAAGCUCUUUCAUCCUCUAUAAAUAAAGAAAGUCUACUUCGGAAGAAGAAGACUCUCUCUCCAAAAUCAGACACAACGUCUCAAAAAACAUUCAAAGAUUCUCAUAAUAACAAUCUGUCUACUUCAUUUAGAUAACCGGGUGACAACUACUGCAUUUAUCCAUCGUUGCUCUGCCAUACUCAUAGUAUGAUUUUCUUUUAAAAGUAAUAUAUUUUCAAUUCUUGUAAUCACUUAACUGGAUUGAGAAGUCUCCAGUCUCUCUUUCCUUGCUUUGUAUUUUAAAGAUAAUUGAUGUAUUAAUUAAAGAAGGUUCUGUUAUUUGGUUUACACUUAAAUUAAAUAUAAGCUAAAGGAAAUUCAUCUUUAAUAAGUUCACUUAAUUACCCAAAAAUGAAUUAUGGACUAUUUUAAUACAUAGAAUUGAAUUCCCGCCUUCUUCCCUUUAUAAAAGUCCAAAAGAACCAACGUUCGGGCCCGAAAGGGAAUAGGGGCUCGAAUGAAACAGCAAAAAUAGGAGGGAUAGGAAGUUGAGUUGGGCCCGAAUUAUACCGGUGGGCUCAAAUUAACUAUUAAUCUAGCCCAAGGACGAUAAAGAUAUUGAAACUGGUUGUUAAAACCCGAAUAAGGUUUACUAACCACGAACUUGGUCUCUCUCUCUCUCUCUCUCUCUCUCUCUCUCUCUCUUACUUGUUCAGGUAUCGCUCAUACUUGUCAAGUUGACAUUCGUGAAGGAAAGAAUAUUGAAGUCCUCUUGAUUGAGGCAUAGAAAAGAAUCAAUCCAGGCCAGUACCCCUCUUGGAGCACAAUGGCUUGAGAAGAAGUCCAGAAAAAGACGCGCGAGUCCUUAAUCAUUCAUAAACAUCCAUACCAGAUCUAUUGGGCUGGUCAUAUACCCAAUAAUGGCACGAUUACGCAACAUCACGAAUCAGAAUUGAGAAAAGUUGACGGAUAGGCCUCUAUCAGGCCCGCUCGCUUUUGGCAAACUGAUUCAACUUUCAAUUGUGUUCAAAAAUUAAAGGAGUCCUCUUUGCGAGCCAAGAGAUACCAUCCGAUCGGAUCAUUGGUGUCGAUCCAACGAACCUCUCCAUUCCUCUUAGCAGAGUUGACCCCCGCGGGCGGCAAAAAGGAACGACGGAAGGAAAAAAGGACCAACAGAGUUAUUUACAUUUUACGGUGUGUUGUCAAAAUCACAGGCCAUCUUGAUAAUGCAGUUAUAGCAGUUGGUUCCCUUUCUAUUUGGUAAUUAACAUCUUAAUGCUAAUACCAUGGUGGCUAAUGAUAAGCUUUUGAUACCUAAUGCUAAUACCAUUCUCUUCUUUUCCUUUCGCAGCGUGAACAUUAACGGAUUUGAACUAAUGUUGUUCAUUGGAAUAAAUGUGGCAAUAAGGUGAACAAGCAUUGCAUGUUGCAUUUGAAUGAUUAUUCUCAUGUUGGUGAAUGAGUUAAUUAAGGUUUUUAAUUUCUACGAAUAAUGCAGUGUGCGUGUCUCCAGUGAGCUUGGAUCAGGACGACCAAGAGCAGCCAAAUACUCUGUCUAUGUGACAGUAUUUCAGUGUCUUCUAAUUGGGAUUUUUUUCAUGAUUGUUAUUGUUUACACCAUAAUGAACCGAGCAGACCCAGCAUCAAAGCGACUAGCACCAAGGCAGCCACGCCUUCUCCCAUGCCGAAGGAAGACACACUUUCGAGGUGCCAGACACCUGCCGAAGCUCUCAGCUGCCAAACCUAAUCUCCAGGACACGUGUCGUCACCACAACGGCUUGCAUAAAGUCCCACAUUGGAACUUUGUGCAAAGCUCCCACUUUCACUUCCCUAUAAAUAGGGAACAGUACCCAGGUAAAACCAAGAACUACUCUCCCACUUUUACUGUUACUCUGCCAGAAUUACUACUUGUAACUGACUUAGGCAUCGGAGAGCCUUCGGCCGGCACCACACCGGUGUCCGAAGCUUAACGAUUGCUUCUCCUCUUUUUACCUUCUACAGGUCUCUCACCAACCCAUUUCACCAAGGGCCUCAGCCCUCUUCUCUGCUGAAGACUCAGCACAUCUAAUCACUAAAUUGGACUCAAUAUUGGCCGGGCCAUUUUGAGCAUCAACAGUUAUCUUGAUAACCAAAGACAGUUUUUCCCUACUUUUUACAAGUGAUAAGGAUCUGCAACAAGCGGUCGCCAAGCUAGCAUAUCUUCUUGGUAUAACUAUGUUGCUCAACAGCAUCCAGCCGAUAAUAUCAGGUACCCGUUUUGACGUGUGACUAAGUUUAUGAAAUGUUAUACAAAUAAUGCCACUUCUUCUGCUGAUGCCCAUGUUUGCUUGCUUGGUUCUUGAAGGGGUUGCAAUUGGUGGUGGAUGGCAGGCACUGGUAGCUUAUAUAAACUUGGGUUGUUACUACAUUUUUGGACUUCCUCUUGGAUAUCUUCUUGGUUAUAUUGCAAAUCUGGGAGUGAUGGUAAGUUAAGAUAUCAUUUCCAAAUUCCAAGUAGGUUACUUUAAUUCAAGAGUGUUUGAUGAAUUCCUGUGAUUGAUGCAGGGACUUUGCGGGGGCAUGAUAUGUGGAACUGCUCUCCAAACCUUGCUUCUGAUGAUUGUGCUCUACAAAACCAACUGGAACAAAGAGGUAUAAUCAAUAUUUCAAUUCAUUGCAAAUCAUAAACAAUGUGAGAUUUGAAAAUAUCCACAUUGAAAUGAAUCUGCAGGUGGAGCAAGCAACAAAAUGCGUGAGGAAGUGGGGUGGUCAAGACAUCACAGCUGGGAAUGGAGCUCAAAGUACCUGAAAUUCUUUGCUCCUUCAAUGUUCAAUGUUCAAACUUUUUGUUUUGGAUGAAUAAAAUCUUCAAGUACGAGUACAAAAAAGGCAAUGAUAUAGUGAGAUUUCUAGCUUUGCCAUUUUCAGAGGCCAAUGCAUAUUCCUCUGCUCAUAAGCUUAACGGUGUCGCCGCCUGUUUUUGGACUUUGGCCAACCAUUACCAUGAUUUGAGUAGGAUAUGAGCCACGCUACACCAAGCGACGGUCCUUUUUUAUUUUUUUUUUUUUUUUGCAAUUUCAAUUAUAUUUUCAAUAAAACUUAAAAGCCCCAAAAGAUUUUGGUUACUUGUCAAAAAAUAGACUUGUGGGUUGUUUUGACAUGGUCGACAACAUCAUAUUGCAAUGAAAAAAAAAACGAAAAAGAAGAAGAAAAUGUGAAUUUGCCUUCAUCAUAAUGAAUUUCUGUCAUUCUAGAGAAUGAGAUAUUUUUGGCACAAGAAGAUGACAAAAGUAAAGACAUAAUUGCUCUGCUUCAGUCUUUCACACCACACACUGUAAAUGUGUUAACUAUAAUGGCUCCUCACCAUUCCAUCACCAUGCUUGCUAGGUAGCUAAAGUGGCUGUCAUUGCCCACAAAACAACAAAUAUUGAAAAUAAAAUUCAUGUUCUAUAAGAGCAUAUAGUACUAUUGCUCAUAAACUCUCAUAUUCAUUGGUGAGUUUGGUUUGGAGUAAAUUAAUGGAACCGUUGCUCAAAGGCAAAAGCGAAGCGGAGGCAGCUGAUGAUGACUACGCGGCAGUGAGGAGCUUUGAGGAGGCCAUGUGGGUCUCUUGGAAGGAGGCAGCCAAGCUCUGGAGAAUUGCAGCUCCAGUGGCGUUUACAACUCUGUUUUAGUACCUGGUUGUGUCUGUCACCACCAUCUUUGUGGGUCAUCUCGGAGAUCUUGAGCUCUCUGCUAUUUCCCUUUCUGUCACUGUCAUCUCUGGCAUCCCUUUCGGUUUACUGGUUUACAUCUAUUUACAUCUGCUUCUGUUUCUAUUUCUAUUUCUAUUUCUAUAUAUAUGUGUAUAUAUGUAUCAUAUGUGUUCAUGUAAAAAUGUGACUGUUUACAUGCUUAUAUUGUUUUGAGUUGUUUACUCUUAUUAAUUAAUUAUAGGGAAAGGUUUAACUUUUGAGUGAGUUCAGUUACAUUUAUUAGGUGAAUAUAUGGUCACAUUCUCCUCAGUCUUUUGGCUAUAUAUAUAUAUAUAUAUAUUGAGAGAGAGAGAGAGAGAGAGAGAGAGAGAGAGAGAGAGUAUAUAGCAUAGCAGGUUGCACGUCUCCUUUUGAUUUUCUGUUAAAUGCUCAAGGGCUGUUUGACUUGAAUAUUUGUAAUUCUGUGGCCAAUUGCAGCGGCAAUUUUUAGAAAUGUUGCUUAAGAGAUGACUUGUGUUGGAGGAAUGAAAGAGAGACUAAUUUAAUUUAGCUAUGCAUUUAUGUAUGUAGCAAGGUAUGGCAACUGCACUGGGAACGCUUUGUGGUCCGGGUCUGUAGACCCAUGGACAUUUAAAAGGUUGAGUAAAGGUUUGUUAGAGUUUUGAGCCUUUGUGCCUUUGGGUCCACCAUCUGUGCUCGCAUCCACUUUGGGUAGGGUUCAAAAAUCUCUUUUAGGUCAUGAGGGAGCCAAAAGCCUCCCAUGAUCUUUAGUCAGACAAAUACUUUAAUGGAUUCAAUUAUUUUUUGUGUUUUAAGAAAUUAUUUGAUUGCAAUCAUAAUUCAAUCAAAAAAGUCAUUAGUCAUAAAGAGUCAUUACAAUUACGGAGAAGUAAUAUAACAUCAACAUUAUGACAAUCUAAUGCACCUCCAUUAAUAAUCACGCAGAGAUGUUAAAAUUUUGAGAAAAUAUCAGAUUUAUUCAGGUCCAUUCAUUUCAGCAUUUAUUGAUGUUUAGUACCAGAGACGUGGACAAUGGAGCAUCGAUUACCAUAUCAACUUUUUAGUUUGUGUGUGUGUCUGGUGCUGAGAAAAUCUUACCAAGUUGAAGGUGAGGUGGUUGGAUUCUUGUGCUGCUGCUGUGCGGUGCAAACAAGGGAAAUAAUUACACAUGGAUACGUACGUUGACAAAUAUAUGUUCCAUUGAGCAUGUAUAAUGUAUGGUGUGGGGCUUAGCUUAGCUAUAUUUGUACCAAACAGUCCGCAUUUCAAAUGGGAGGAGGAAACUUCGAUGUCUCAAGAGCGAUUGGUAGGUGGGCGAGAGAGUGGUGGUUCAAAACUUCAUUGCUUGGUUUUUGAAAUUACAUUGGAAAAUUUGAAUGGUGGGCUUUGAGUUUACGUUAGUCUAGCUAAAUCCAAGACCAUUCUUUGUCAAAUCUAUUGUAAUUAUUAACCAUCCAUAUCCCUUGGACGUUCUUUGAUAUUUGCAAACCUUCUGAGUUGUGACACUGACAUUCACCAAUGAUGAGUGAGAGCCACGUUCUUUGAUAUUUGCAAAAUUGGAGCAAGACGAGCUCAUGCAAAGCAUAGCUUACCUAAUUUGAUUUUUCUUUCUUCUAGAUUAAAAUUAACAAUACUUUGCAAAGUUUUCCACAAGCCGUGCAGAUUUUUUUUAUAGUACAAAGUCUACAUUACAAGAGGAAUGAGGAAGGGAAGUUUCACACACAUUAUUAACAGGAACGGACCUAGAAUUUCAAAAUAUGGUGGACUAAAUUUACCUUACUUACAAAACCUAAUUGUAAAUCCGUAAUUGAUAAUUCAUAACACUGAAUUGAAAAUCCCUAAUUUAUACUUCUUGAACCUUAAAAAAUCCCCAAAUUUUAGUAAUAAUAAUAAUUUAUACUUCUUGAACCUUAAAAUGACCCACCAAGAAAAUUGAACGUUUGAAGGGCUGAUGCAUGAAGUGGGGUAGGCUGUAGGGUGGGCUACAUGUGACUUUGGGCUGGAAAAUAAUAAAAGCCACCUAAGCUAUAACUCAAGUUAACCUGUGAUUGAGUCCAUCUCUGAUUGUUAAGGUGUUAUAAGGAUUCAGACUUGAGACUAAUAAUAUACAAAUCAAAGUCUUUUUACACAAACCGUGCAGAAUUUAUUAAUUAGUUCCUAAGCAAGCCUUGAUAUAUAGAUUCACUUGGAUUUAAAUAGGUUGCAGUCCAGCACUAAUUGGGAUUGUUUCUUUUUCCAUUAAUUAACAAAGUACAAAAAAACAAAAUAAAUUACACUCGAAAUAAAGUAAUAUUUUAAGUCAAAGCAAAGGAGUAAAAGUCAAAGAAGAAGUAUAUAAGUAUGGGACUUCAUUCUCCCGACGUCACAUAACCAAAACCAAACCAAACCAAAACCCAACACACACCACACCACCCAGCCUUAGCACCGUCGGAUUCAUCUCCGGCCGCCAGCUAGCUCCCUCCCACUUCAUAUCAGGGCCGUGCACGCGUUCCUGCAGUAUUUAAUUCAUAUGGAGGCGCCACUGCUUCCGGCAGUGAACGGCGGCGAUGUUCGAGACUAUGAGCCGGUGACGAGCUGGAAGGAUGCUCGGUCGGUGACGUGGAGAGAGACUCAGAAGUUGUGGAAAAUAGGAGGGCCCAUCGCCUUCACAAUCAUCUGCAACUUUGGGACCAACUCUGUUUCCACCAUGUUCGUCGGACACCUCGGAAACCUUCAGCUCUCUGCCGUCUCAAUCUCACUCUCUGUGAUCUCAACCUUCUCUUUCGGCUUCUUGGUAAAUUAGCUCUAGCCACCAUUUCAUUUAUUAAUUCCAUGCAUUUAAUUCACAUACCAUAAUUCAUAUAUAAUUAAUGGGGUGCACGCAACGCGCAUGUCGUCAAUUUACAUAUAGCCUAGGUGGGGUGAGAUUUAAUAACUCUUGUCUUUUUCUACUUGAGUUAUGUUUUUAUGAUUUGGGUUUCUUAUGUUGCACUUGUCUUCUUCUUCAUGCUUUUCUUUUAUCUGUUUUUUUGGGAGACUUUGGAAAAGGCUAAAAGAGUGAGAAAUUUUUUAAAAGAAGCCAAAAUGGACAAAAUUGCCCUUAUUUAUUUUUGGAUUUCUUAAGGAAUCCUUUAUAUUUGCAUGUCUUUAAUUUAAAAGUUGAGAAGUUUUUCUGUCUUUUUUGAAAAAGUUUUGGCUUUUUUCAAAAGUGAAAGUUUUUUUGUAACUAAAACCUAAAUUUAUUUUUUUGUUUUUAGUGUGUGUUAGGUAUUCCUCAGUUUUCAAAAUAUUCUGCAUUUUUAUUUAUUUAUAUAUUAAAAUGGUUAAAUGUAUAUACUUUCUGUGAAUUAGACGGCACACACCUUUCCAGUCUCAGAGACUGACUAAAGUUGAGUGGAGAGUUUUUCUAUGUUUCUUAUUGGAAGUUGUAGUCUUUGAAUCAUACUCUGUUUCACAGUUGAGAAAAGCUCGGAAAUGAUAAGAGAUUUUGUAUGAGAGAGAGAGAGAGAGAGGAUAAUGAGCCCAAAAUAUUUGAAAAAUCAACCCAAUUAUCCUAAUGGAUUAGCCUUUGUAUUUUGGAUAAACCAUAUUAACUAACGGUGAAAAAUCAAAUUUAAUUUAACCAAUUUUUUUUAAAAUCGAAAUCUAAUUAAAAGGAACACUCAAAACUCUGUCUUUCCCCCCUUUGAAUUAUUCUAAUGGGUUGUCUUACUAAUAUGGAAUUAUGUAUGUAUGUAUGUAUGUAUGCAUGCAUGCAUGCAUAUGAUAGAUCAUUCAGAUCAAAUGCAUGAUUGAUUGAUUGGUAUGCAGUAUCGACUAUGUAUGUAGCUUAGCAGCAAAACCUAUGUCAUGGAAUUGAAGGAGCUAAAUUUGAUAAUUUGUACAAACUUGUAGCUCGGCAUGGGAAGUGCAUUAGAGACGCUUUGUGGUCAAGCAUUUGGUGCUGGAAGGGUUAACAUGCUUGGAGUGUACAUGCAAAGGUCAUGGAUCAUUCUAUUUACCAGCUGUGUCAUCCUCACGCCACUCUACGUUUUCUCUGCCCCGAUUUUAAAGCUUCUUGGGCAGGACGAAGAAGUGGCUGACCUUGCUGGAACCUUCACCAUAUAUGUCAUUCCUCAGUUAUUCUCACUUGCCAUCACGUUCCCUUCCCAAAAGUUCCUUCAGGCACAAAGCAAGGUUGCUGUUCUUGCAUGGAUUGGUUUUCUGGCCCUUAUUAUACACAUUGGAUGGCUCUUUCUCUUCAUUUACGUGUUGGAUUGGGGCAUCUAUGGUGCAGCUCUAGCAUUUGACAUCACAGGUUGGGAACUUGCGAUUUGUCAAGUUAUUUAUAUAAUCGGUUGGUGCAAUGAAGGGUGGAGUGGUUUUUCAUGGUUAGCUUUCAAAGACAUCUGGGCCUUUGUAAGGCUCUCACUCGAAUCAGCUAUCAUGCUUUGCCUUGAGAUUUGGUAUAUGAUGAGUAUAAUCAUUCUUACUGGACAUCUUGGCAAUGCUGUGAUUUCUCUUGAUUCACUUUCUAUCUGGUAAGGACCCAACUUCCUCCUUUUUGUUCUUGCAACCACUUUCUACUUCUGCUGCUGAUCCUUUGUUUUUUUUUCUUUUUCCUUCUUAGAUUAGAUGGUUUAUGUACAUUUCCGCAUUCAAAUUAUGAUGUUUUUUCUUGGAUUUUUACUCAAUCAAUUGGCAUUGCAGCAUGAAUCUCAAUGGAUGGGAAGCAAUGUUGUUCAUUGGAAUUAAUGCUGCAGUAAGGUAAGUACCAAGACUACUUUUAUCAUUUGGUGUACUUUGUAUGUCAUUGUCAUCAUACACAAACAACACUUUUUGAGGCAACAACGAUGUUGUGCUUACAAUUAUCCCUGCCGCUGAUUUUUCAGUGUUCGAGUUUCCAAUGAACUUGGAUUGGGACGUCCAAGAGCAGCUAAAUACGCUGUCUGCGUGACAGUCCUUGAGUCUCUGCUCAUUGGGAUUGUUUGCAUGAUUGUCAUCUUGAUAACCAAAGACUACUUUUCUGUCAUCUUCACAAGCGACGCGGAAUUGCAACAAGCUGUUGCUAAGCUAGCAUUUCUUCUUGGAAUUACCAUGGUUCUUAAUAGUGUCCAACCCGUCAUUUCGGGUAUCAAUCGAGUCACUUGGCUUUUCCUCAGUUCCCUUUCUGUAUACAGGACUCUUCCCCCUUUUAAUUUUUACUGGAUUCAUGACUUCAGGUGUUGCUAUUGGAGGCGGAUGGCAAGGACUGGUGGCUUAUAUCAACUUGGGUUGUUAUUACAUUUUUGGCCUCCCACUUGGAUUCCUUCUUGGUUAUAAAGCAAACUGGGGAGUUAAGGUAAAACAUUUUCAGUCUCAGUUCCACAGCUAAAUGUUUGUGAGAUUCUUUCGUCUUCACGGUCUCUAAUCUGUGUUUUGUCCAGCUAGUUUUAAUACCAACAUUUGUUCAUUAUUUUAGGGAAUUUGGGGAGGUAUGAUAUGUGGAACUGCUCUUCAAACGUUGCUUCUCUUGAUAGUGCUUUAUAGAACCAACUGGAACAAGGAGGUCAGUUAAAUCUGUUAUAGGAAUCCAUAUGGUCCUUCAGUUUACUUUAUAACUGAUCACCAACAAGGAUUUUCAUUUACUUAUGUCUUCAGCAUUCUUGUUUAAAAGACAAUAAUCAUAAUCUUUUUUCUUGGCACAGGUUGAACAAUCUUCGGAGCGAAUGAAGAAGUGGGGUGGACAAAACGUUGAAUAUGAGAAGAUAGCUGACAACCAUAUAUGAACUUGAUCCUAAAAGAAAUUCACAUCAUGUUUCUCCUCCGACAAGAUAUCCUGAGUAACUAAAAUCUCCCUGCUUAUAUUGGCCUGAAUUUCUCUGGAAGUCAUGUUUUAGAGUUGCAGGGUGCUCUUCCAAAUUUUGUGUUGACAAUUUUAAACCAGCUUGAUUUGUUCCCGGCAGGAGAUUUUACCUCCCUGUCAGUAGUACAGAAUUUAAUUUACCUAUCAAUUUGAUUCAACUGGUUUGAUCUGAUUUCCCCUUUUCAGGGUUCUCUUUCAUAAUCAAUAGUUUAUGUUAAUUUUGGUACUAAAAGUCACUAUCUCUAAGAUCAAUAUGCAUAAGUUUAUUGUUAGAAUAGUAGCAAACAAGGGCUUGCAAAGGAGCAACAACAGAAAAAGAAACCAUAAUGCUAAAAACUAGCUUUCUCGGAGAUUCUCCAAUAAGUAUUUUAUGUUAAGUAUUCGUUACAUGCUUCUAAUCUUGGUCGUUGAAUUGUAUUCAUUAAAUAUGUUGAUAGUAUUUUAAAUGCAAUCCUACGGCCAUGCAGAAUUUAUUAAUUAGUUACUAAACAAGCCUUGAUAUAAUUAUACAUAGAUACACUUAGAUUUAAAUAGGUUGCAGUCUGGCACUAAUUGGGAAUGUUUCUUUUUCCAUUAAUUAACAAAGUAAAAAAAACAAAAUAAAUUACAGUCGAAAUACAGUAAUAUUUUAAGUCAAAGCAAAGAAGUAAAAGUCAAAGACAAAUUGGAACUAUAUAAAUAUGGGACUUCAUUCUCACCAAGUCACACGACCAAAACCAAACCAAACCAAAACCCAACACACACCAUCCCAGUUCACAACACCACCACCCAGUCUUAUCACCGUCGGAUUCAUCUCCGGACGCUAGCUAGCUCCCUCCCACUUCAUAUCAGGGCCGUGCACGACUUUAUGGCCAUAGAUGGAAAUAGACACAGAGAAGAAGACGGAGACAGAGGGAAGAGAAAAGAAGAAGAAGAAGGAAAAGAGAGAGAGUUUUCAAUUUUUAUUUUAUGACUAUUAUUUCAAUUUUCAAUUUUUUAUUUUAUUUUUUAUUUUUUAUUUAUUUUUAACGUACAAAAUGACUAUUUUACCCUCAUAUUUAACAGCAAAUUGGAUGAAAUGUUGCGAAUUUAGUACCCGUUUGGCAUUGCUUAUUUGGGGUAAUAAGUGAUUUUAAAAAAAUUUCGGGAAGCCCAACCUUGUUUGGUAACCUAUAAGAAAAUCACUUAUUUUUAAAAAUUGUUGUCAGAGAAAGUAAUAAAUGAAAGCAGCUAAUGACCUGCUUUCAUUUUCUGAUUAUACGGUAAUCAGAUUUGAGAAGCGCUGGGUUUUAAUGAACUUUACAAACUUCCGAAAAUACCCCAAUCUAUUUUCACGCUCUCUCUUCCUCCUUCCCUCACAUCAUGUUGCUUCUUCUCACAAUCUCUUCACAUAGCCCACUCCUCUCCUUCUCUUCCAUUAUGCCUACAGUUUUUUCUUGUUGGAUCAAUUGAAGCGCACUGCUGAGCCACAAGACUCAGGUAAGAGAUGCAUAUUAUGUUUAUUUCUUUUCAAUUUCAAUCGUCCCUCUUUCUCUUUAAUUUCUAGGGUUUUAACUAUCUUCCCAAAUGGAAAAAUGUCAUUCUCAUGCCAAUACGUGAUAUAGAAAACCAACAGCAAAAACGCACUUGGAAAAACAUCCCUGUUGUCUUUGUCUGUUGCUCUGUUACUGUUUGUCUCGCUUGCUCUGUUACUGUUUGUCUCACUUGCAAAAAAUAUCACAUCCUUCCUCACUUACUCACUCUUUCUCUUGUUGUUUCUCUCUAUUUGGGCAAAUAGAUUUCGAGGGGGUCAAACCUCCAAAGCAUAAAGCUCUUAUUUUUACUUGGAAUUUUCUAUAUUACCUUGGUCAUAACCUUCAAAGCAUAAAGCUCUAAAGAACCUCUUGGUGGUUUUAAAUAUUUUUAUAUUUCACUGUACUUGAAAUGCUUGCAUUUGUGUUAAUAUGAUAGAUUUUGUUAUGGUCUUGUUUUGUUUCUCUUCCUAAUCUCUGUAUCCUGAAAAACUAUUAUUGAUUCAUUGGUUAUGUUUUCAGUUUGAAAUUUUGGGUUCUAGAUGAAUUUUUAUAUCAGUAGUGAGCCACUGUUAUUUGGUAUCUUAUUGAGUUGCAAGUUGGUUAGGUGAAUUCUUUUUAUUAGUUUGGAGAUAGAGAUAAAGAAAGUGAAGUGUUGCCAGUUCAAGAGGCUUUCUAUUUCUGGUACUGUUAAUUACAGAAGAGUUUUGGUAUUUCCAAACUAAUUCAUGUACCUUAGUUAAUGUAGGGGUCCAUACAAACUUUCCUGGUGAAUAUCAGCUUCACAAGCCUGAACAAUUGAAAUAUUUCUAUCCCAAGCAUUUCCCUAUAUGUUAUAUAUAAUAUUUGAUUGAAAGAUAUUUGGGUCAUUAAUAGUUAAUGUGCUUUGAUCAUAUCGUUGAAACAUUUGAGGAAAGCUUGUUUUAUUUUCAUGUGUGUCUGAGGGGGGAAGAAAGCUGUGUUAUGAAAAUUUUAUUGUGAUGGCAACCUUUUGGUUUAUUUUGUAGAGUUGAAUGACAAAGCCUUUGAACAGUAAGUGGUAGUUUGGGGCUGGGAUUACUUGAGGUGUAUAGUUCAACUUUGGACAUUUUUGUAGGCAUUUCAAAUCAUAGUGACUUUCAACCCUAAAUCCUAAAAUGGUAGUGACUUUGUUCGGUGUUGUUUCUUGUUUUAGGGGCUAGUUUCCACAAGCAGUGUAAAUAAAAACUUGGAUAUUUAUGAAAUACUCUGUAUUUCGUAUCCUAAAAAAACAAAAUGAUUGAAGGAGAGUAUGAGACUUUUGGAAAUGAAAGUCGUUGCCAUAAUAUGUUUAGGAUGGAUAAAGAUGUAUUUACAUGAUUGUGUGAUGAAUUGCAAAACAAUUAUGGAUUAAAGGGUUCAAGAAGAAUGAGUGUUGCUGAGAUGUUAGGGAUGUUCUUGAACAUCUUAGGACAUGGAUCUGCAAUUAGGCAAGCACAAGAUCGCUUUCAACAUUCUGGUGAGACUGUGAGCAGAUAUUUUAGUAUCUUACUUGAUGUUGUAUGUCGUUUAGCUGUGGAUGUAAUUAAACCAUUGGAAAAUGAGUUUAACAACACUCCAAAGGAAAUCUUACAGGAUUCUAGAUAUAUGCCUCAUUUCAAGGUAACUAUUGCAUCUACUAUUAAAUAUUUGUCUAUGUUUUAUAAUGUUAUAAUUAAUAUUAUGUUUGUCUUUUUAUCACUUGUAGGAUUGUAUUGGUGCUAUAGAUGAUGUUCAUGUGCAAGCUGUAGUAUCUCCUUCUAAUCAAAUACCAUUUAUUGGUAAAAAGGGGAUACCUACCCAAAAUGUGAUGUCUGCAUGCAAUUUUGACAUGCAAUUUGUAUUUGCAUGUGCCGGAUGAGAAGGCACGGCCCAUGACACAAGGAUAUUUCUAUCGACUUUACGUGAUCAAAGUUUGAAUUUUCCUAAACCUCCAAAUGGUACUAUUUCUAUCUAAAGAAAAAGAAAUUCAUAUAAUUUAUAUUUAAAUUUUUUUACAUUGUGAAUAAUCUAUUAAAUUUUUUUAAGGAAAAUUUUAUCUAGUAGAUGCGGGAUACCCACAAAUGAGAGGCUACUUAGGACCAUAUAAAGGUGAAAGAUAUCAUCUUCCUGAUUUUCGUAGGGGUGUUCAACCGAUGGGUCAUAAAGAGGUAUUUAAUCAUGCACACUCUUCCCUGAGAAGUGUUAUUGAACGCACUUUUGGAGUAUGGAAAAAGAGAUAGAGUAUUUUACGCGACAUGCCUAGUUAUCCUAUUGCAAAACAAGUCAAAAUAGUUAUUGCAACCAUGGCACUUCAUAACUAUAUAAGAAGACAUGCCAAACGUUAUUGUCAUUUUGAUGAAAGUGAAGAUGACCUAAAUGGUACUCAAGAUGAAGAGAUUGAGAAAGAGGUUGAUGCACAACAAGAAAAUGGUCAUGUAACACAAGAAAUGGAGGCAUUGAGAAAUCAUAUAGCAGCAAGUUUAAUGAGUUCAUCUGGUUAGAAAUGUAUAUGAUUGCUUGUUUAUGACUAGUUUAAUUUUUGUUAUGACCAUAUUAUUGACAAUAUAUUUAUUUUUAAUUGAAUACUUUAUUUAUUUUAUAAUUAAAAUAAUUUUUACGGUGUGAUGGAAACAUAUUUAAUACAAAAAAAAUUAUAUACGUUAAAGUGAAAGUGCUUUUCCUUUUACCAAACACUUGAACAAAAAAGUCAUUUCAAUAUAAUACCAUUUUUAGUCAUUAUACACAGCUUAUAGAACUUUUACAAAAAAAUUUACCAAACACUCAAAAACUGAUUAUUGUACAAACAACACUUAUAACAAAAAGUUUACCAAACGCCAAACUGCUUUCUCUCACAGCUGAUUUCUCUCACAGCAAAUCUGACAGCGAUUAUUUUCAUAGCACAGCAAUGUCAAACUAACCCUUAGACGGCAGGGGGGAAAUUGGCCAAAAAAAAAAAGUUUAUAUCCUUAAUUUUCUAAAAAAAAAAAAGAUAGGGAGUUAAUUGAAAGUAAGGUACAAAUUCAGGGGGCAAAUCGCUAGUAUACCAAUUCUUGAAAACCGUCAACCAAGUAAAUAAAAAACAGGGCCUCUUUAUAUAUUUUGGCGAACGAAGAGAAGUUCAUUGAACAGAAAUUCAUUCCAAAAAACAGUGAAAUUGAUAACAAUUGCCAAACCACCCUACUUUGCACAUCCACCGGAGCAGGGUUUUAUGUCCCUUGAAUUCCCAAUUCAUCAACCAUUGCAGAUCGUGUUCCUAAUCGUUAAGGUCUCGGUAAAAAGGCUAACACGAGUUAAAACAAUGAGAAAAUGAUGCUUAUCGAGUCCUUUGAUGCCACGUUGACAUGAUUCCAUAUGAAUCUAAUCAAUCAUUGACACUGAAGUGGUUCCUAUAAACCAACCGUGGCCAAUUAAGUAGGCUAGCUGCAUCUCAAAGGACAAUUACUCAAAGAGCAGGAGAUAAAGAAUUGAGAGUCAUUCUUAUCUUUUGAAAAAUGGACAGAAAUUAGUUUCUUCCACUCCUCACCCAAAAUAUAAUACACUGUACCCUAACAGAACCAAUACACGCGCACAUUCUACAAAAUCAACUUUCAAGCGUAACCAAAGUUGGGAACCAUAAACAGAACAAUUCGGGCGACGCUACAGCAGGCAUUUGUUCUAAUAAGAAAGCAUAUAUAAAUCUAAUUAAAAACAGGUAGGCUGCCGAGUAGAAGAAUGAAAAAUUGAAUUUACUUCCUGCAAAAUUUUAGUAAGAUGUGGGAUACAAUUUAAACCUUACUUUAAAGACAAAAUUUCUAGGGUAGAGGACAGCAUUAGUAUUGUGCCAAAAGCAAGCUAAUGCAUAUGAGUGAUGCAGCAUCAGGUGGCUAAAAUAAUUACAUCCUCACCCGUUUCAACAUAUCAGAUCAGACAUCCUGGAUAUCUACCUUCCCUUGAUACACACCUAACAAUUCAGGUACUUCGCCAAGAUAUCUGUUCACAAAAAUCUCCAAGAACUGCUUCUCUGCCGGUUUCAGCAGAGAACCCAGAUUCAAGUUCUCAUUUAUGAAACCUUUCAACAGCAGAACUUUAACAACAGAGCACCUUGGGAUAAGUCUCCUCUCCAAACUGAGACUGAGGACCACAGGAUAUUUGGCAAUCAUUCCUGACGACCAUCCCAUCUUGUUCACUAAAAGAUCCAUUGCUUGCAUAAGUUUCUUCUCCGAGACAAUCAUACACCGCGGGUUCUUCCUGAAAGCGGAGAGAAAAUCAUCCUCAGACCAACCCCAUGUCUUAAGAACUUCGCGACUUCUACUCCAUACCAACUUAUUCUUGCCGCACAAUGCACACAUGGCAUUCACUGAAGUUGAUUUUUCCAGAUUAAAUCCCAUUUCCUUAACCUCACUCACAAGUUGACCAAAGUUUUCAGGAUUUACCAUCAAAACGCGAGUACCAUGAGUUAGCAAAAAAGAAAUGCAUGGUUGAGGCAUGCCCAAUUCUCUCAAAAGCCCAAUAUUUGGCACCACAUGCUUGCAGUGACCUUCCAAGAAAAUCCAUGAGUUGCGUUUUAAAACAGCAACAACAUUUUUCUCAGAGAGCAUACUCCUGAGGAAGUUAUAAGUGGGCAAAAUCCGAUUUCUCAAGCUGACUGACAAAAGGUGUGGAUUAAAAGCCAGAGUUUUUGCAAAGUCCACUUUUGAAAUUUCAAGAGAGCUGAAAAACUCAAGCUUUGGCAAAAGGGUUUUCUCAGGAUCAGCUGAAAGAAGUUUUGGAUGUGACCUAAUAAGCUUUGAUAUCUGGGUUUGAGAUGCUCCAUGGUUUCUCAGAAGCUCUAAAACGGAGUCUGCUCUUUCUGGUGACUGCAACUCGACCCACUUAGAAGCUAAAAUCGCUCCUUCUGGGGACAAUCCACAAGUGUUUAUGAGGUAAAUGACUGUGAAAUUGUGUUGGUUUUCUGAGAUUUCAGAGGUGAUGUGUCUGCAGAGCAACUGACUCUGAAGAGAAAAAUGUGAGGGUUUUGGAUCUCCAACCAACACUCUGUUUGUUUUGGAAGCAAAUGUACAAGAAAAUAUUGAGUGACCCAAUCUGAAGGUCUUCAAAUUGCAGAGUUGAAUCAUGUUAGAGGUUGAUGACGAACAAUUUCUACAGAAAAACUUAAAGCCCUAGCUGAUUCUCUGCCUUUAGAAAGUAUGCAGUUCUCGGCAUUCAAAAAAGAUCUGAACCAUCCAAAUAAAAUUGCCUGGUAUAGGAUAAACCAUUGCAGCUAGGGUAAGUUUUCUUACCAUUUUCACAACUGACGGCCACUGACUUACUGCUGCUAUCCAUGGUGGUAGGAAAUAUUCUGCCAGAAAAACCUCUUCAGUCUUCAUAGGUACAAAUCAAAGCAAAGCAAUUACUCCAAUCCCAGGCAACAAGAAAACCCAAAAAAAGGGUUGAAUUUCAAAGUUAAAAACAGUCGAGGGCAUUUGUUUUUUUGGGACAAAGGGCGAAGAACAUUUGGGCGAUGAUGCUUUGGUUUAUAGACGCUCGACGUGGUUACUCUCAAGUGCGGCCCAGAAGCAAUUUGAAAGCGCCACUUUUUGCAAUUGGAAUUUGGAUGUAGGAGUUAUUUACAUUUUACGGUGUGUUGUCAAAAUCCUUGAGGUUUCGAAAAUUAGGUGAUGACGUACCUGAAGUUUCAAAUUCUUCUCACAAAAUUUGGUAUCAUUAUUUUUUCGUCCAAAAGUUAAUGAUUUCAUAUAUAAAAAUACUUACACAAAUAACAAAUAACAAAUUUAAUCUCGAUUCGAUUAAAAAACUAACUUGUAAGGGGCUUGAAGCUUAAUUGGUUAAGAAGAUAUAUCUCAUCCUAAGUUCAAUUCCCUCUUAUUGAAUUUCGCUUGUAAAAAUCUAAGUACUAAAUUUGUUAUUAUUUGAAGACUUUUUUUAUAUAUAAAAUCAUCAAUUAUAGAAGGACAAAUUAAUGGAAAAAGGUUUUGAGAAAACAAUUUAAAACUUUAUGGAGUAUGCUGCUAUUUCCACCCACCUAUCAUAUUUUCCCACAAACUUUAUCUUCAAAAUUUUAACGACAAAUUUACCCAUUUGUAAAAUGACUUUUGAUGACAAAUUUACAACUCUAUCUAUCUCUCUAACAAGCACCCACGCCCACAAUUUUUUUUUUUAAACCCAUACCCAUCUUCAUACCCAACCCACCAAAUAAUAAUAAUAAUAAUAAUAAUAAUAAUUCCAUAUUCGCACAGUAAUUACCAUCAUUCAACAUCAAAUCAUGUACCACUUCACACCAUCCCCAAAGCUUCAUUUAUAUCAAUAUAACAACUAAUAACCACAAUUAAAUAAUAUUAUAAUCUUAAAAUUAAACGACUAUAAACAUACCUUAUAAAUGUUCAAAGAGUAAUGUACACUAAAUCAAAAGUCCAAACACUACCAAAACUUGUUAUACGGCCUCAACAACACAUUUAAAAUCAAACCCUAGUUCCCGAGACUUCACGCGGACCCACCACCUUAGAGAAGUCCUAAGGCUAUUCUAGUACUUUACAAAGGACGGGAUAGUCUCAAAAAACUCUAGGUCAAUGGUUUGUUCAAACUUUCCAUUUUUUUGUCAAUAGGGCCUGCGAGGCCCAUGACUUUUGAUUUCAAGACCAAAAGUUCCUAGAGGUCCAACCAGGUCUACUAAACACAUCCUGAAAGUUUGGUUUCGAUCGAGUGGUAAGAUCGCUCUUGAUUGCGCGAUCAGACGGUCACCGAUUUACCAAACCCUAAAAUCAUUGAUUCAGAGUAUCCGGAACUCUGAUUCUCAAGCCGUGAGUUCCUACACGAUCUCAGAGGCACGAGAAAUGACAUACUUGGAAUUGGAGCCAAUCCAAUGGUUCAAACAUAUCAAACCCAUAUAUUGCUUAAUAGGCGUAAAUCUGUUCGACUGUCAUACGAUAACCAAAUUCGAAUCCUAGCAUACUGUCGCGCUCGGGACUACAUGGAGAACAUUUUAGAACACAAUGGGCCACCACACCAUGGCCCACGCCCCGCCACAAAUGUCGGCAGCGCAUGGGUGGAUUGAGAAAAUUUCGGCUAUGUAAAAUUCUCGAAACACCCUACAAUACCUAUACCAAUACGUUCAGACUAACAAUGGGAACACUUUUUUGUUUCUUGGACCAUGGUCAAAACGCGACCGGAGCUAGAUGAAAUCACGACCAAAACACCUGCCUAAUAUGGGUAUAUUGAACGAUCUGUAAACCUCAAAAUCGAUUUACAAUACGUAUAUAAACAGAUAGAGCACGAAGAGUAGAUGAAGUUUCAUACCUAACUCAACGAAAAUGGCGGCCAGAGUCGCUGAAAACGGCGUUAAAAACUUCUAAAAUCACCCGAACUUCCAAUCGUUCCAAUUUAAUUUCCUUGGGUUUUUGAGCUGGGAAAAUGAGUGGAUUAGAUAGAGGACGUCGAUACGAAACUUUUGCAACCAAUUUCACCUUAGUCGGACACUGGACGACAACGAAAUCGCAGUCAUAAAUUUGAUGCUGCGUGCGGAGGAAAGAUAGAGAGAGAGAGAAAGCUUAUCUGUUUUUAAAAUCCAACUUCGAAAAAUUUACGGUUGUGCCACUACACUUCCGUUGACCACAAUUUCUUCAUUAAAACCCCAAUUUGGGCCUACUACGUGUCCACAAACUCGUGAGAGCGAGCUCUACACAAUGGUGUCACUCAUUUCCCCUAGAUCCUUCUAGAUUAAAAGUGACCAAAUUACACCUACUCCCAAGGGUAAAAUUAUAAUUUCACAAAAGAAUUAAAUUUGAUUAAAUUGGGUCAAGGAUGUUAGAGUACGGAUUUUUGGUAAAUAAAGCCCAACGUUUUGUAAAAUGAACCCAAUAGCCCAUUUUGGCUAGUGCGUAGAUUCUAGAAAUUUGUCUAAUCUUAUACCGAAUGUUUUGGGGGUGCUUUUUUAUGCCAUGUGUUCUCUUAUGUGCAUUUAGGGCUUAAUAAAAUAGUCUCAUUUCGUCAUAUUUUUAUUGCACAAAUGCGUAUUUACGCAUCAAAAUUCAACACUUCGGUAUUUCUCUUCCAAUUUCAACCAUAAUUCUCGUUGUCUCCAAAUGGCUUCAAACAUGACUCCAAAAAUGCGUGGAUGCAUAGUGGCUUGGAACACAAUCCUAAAAUGUGUUAGUUGCUUGAUCCGAUCAUCAAUUUCAUUCAGAGUGACGAUUUUUUUUUUCUUUCAACAACUCUUCUACAACAUUUGACCAUUUUUUUUCUUGUUGAAAGUCACAAGUUUUGUCAACUUACCCCAAAAAAGAAAAAAAAAAAAAAAAAAAAAGAGGCCAAAAUAGUAAUACUAAAGUCCUUAUCUAACCUCCCGUAUCUCUUCAAUUGAGAGAUAUUUGAGGUUGACCCUUGUAGGAAGCAAGUGCUGAGUUCUUCAAAGACUAGGUAGAUGGAUAAUUCAAAAUUUUACCCAAUUUAUGAGGAUUUGAAUUUCAGCAAAGUGUUUGAUAGCAUUCUUGCGCUCCAUGAAUGAGGGGGGAAUUGAUUCUAAACAAUUUUAAUUGGGGAAAAGAAAGCCCACACUCCAACAAAUAUUGUGUAUGUGGACAUCGAGGACUAAAAAUAUGUGUUUUAGCUAAAAUAUAGAAGAAGCUGAGAAAAAAGAAAAAUUAGCCCAGCCCGGUAUAAAUUCCUUGUUCCGCCCUUAUUUGGGUGGGCUAAGGAAAUUUAUGUGUGGAAAGGGGAAUGGAGGAAGGGCCUGUAAAGAGGGAAGGGGGAUUGGAUUUCAAGAUGGGCGGGGUUGGUUGGAGCCGUUGGUGGUGCACAUAUGAUGGGGUAAGGUGAUAAUUUUUUUUAUUUUCAAUUUUUUUUUUAUAAUGAUUUUUCUAUUCUUAAUAUACCCUUGAAAAUGGAAAAACUAAAAUAUCCUUAAAAAUAUAUGGAAAAUUGGAUGGUGUUAAAGUGAGAUGACAAAUCAUGAAUUUUGAAAAAUUAAGGUGACACUUCUCUUAAAUUUUUCUUAAUAACAAAUUUAUUUCAAGGUAUAAGUUCAUGUAACAUUUAAAAAAAAAAAUUAAAAUCCCUUCAGGAAAUUAAGUGCUUGCAUAACAUCAGAAAAUUCAUUUUCAGGCACUUAUUUUCUCAUGGCUUGGGGCAAUGAAUUGCAUGUAUGCCAACUAAGAAUCAAUUCUUGAAAACUGUCAACCAAGUAAAGAAUAAACAAGGCAUCUUUUUAUAUUUUGACGAACAAAGAGAAGUUCCACGCAUCUUUGCACAACCAUUAGUGCGGGAUAGAUUCAUCCUAAAUAUAACAACUGCCAAACCACCCUACUUUGCACAUCCAUCAGAGCCGGGUUUUAUGUCCCCUGAAUUCCCAAUUCAUCAAGCAUUGCAGAUAUCGCGUUCCGAAUUGUUAAGGUCUCGGUAAAAAGGCUAACACGAGAGAAAACAAUGAGAAAAUGAUGCUUAUCGAGUCCUUUGAUGCCAUGUUGACAUGAUUCCAUAUGAAACUAAUCAAUCAUUGACACUGAAGUAGUUCCUAUAAACCAACCGUGGCCGCUUAACUAGGCUAGCUGCAUCUCAGAGGACAAUUACUCAGAGAGCAGGGGAUAAAGGAUUGAGAGUCAUUCUUAUCUUUUGAAAAAUGGACAGAAAUUAGUUUCUUCCACUCCUCACCCAAAAUACAAUAUAUUGUACCCUAAUAGAAGCAAUACAAGCGCACAUUGUACAAAAUCAACUUUCAAGGGUAACCAAAGUCGGGAACCAUAAACAGAACAAUUCGGGCGACGCUACGGCAAGCAUUUGUUCUAAUAAGAAAGCAUAUAUAAAUCUAAUUAAAAACAGGUAGGCUGCAGAGUAGAAGAACGAAAAACUGAAUUUACUUCCUGCAAAAUUUUAGUAAGAUGUGGGAUACAAUUUAAACCUUACUUUAAAGAGAAUUUCUAGGGUAGAGGACAGCAUUAUAGUAUUGUGCCAAAAGCAAGCUAAUGCAUACGAGUGAUGCAGCAUCAGGUGGCUAAAAUAAUUACAUCCUCACCCAUUUCAACAUAUCAGAUCAGACAUCCUGGAUAUCUACCUUCCCUUGAUACACACUUAACAAUUCAGGUACUUCGCCAAGAUAUCUGUUCACAAAAAUCUCCAAGAACUGCUUCUCUGUAGGUUUCAGCAGAGAACCCAGAUUCAAGUUCUCAUUUAUGAAACCUUUCAACAACAGAACUUUAACAACAGAGCACCUUGGGAUAAGUCUCCUCUCCAAACUG